ACGUACAGGAAGUACGUUCCGGUUCCUCCGCUCCGUCCGCCUAGCCUGACGUCCGCUCGCUACGCCCUGGGAGAC
RNAcentral lists this small RNA (75 nucleotides) under Mitsuaria sp. GD03876. Its description in RNAcentral is "sX9 sRNA". It matches the Rfam family "Xanthomonas sRNA sX9". The record is from RNAcentral. Lineage: Bacteria; Pseudomonadati; Pseudomonadota; Betaproteobacteria; Burkholderiales; Sphaerotilaceae.